CUCGGGCCUGAGGCCGUGCCCUGGGUGGAUCCGAGUGAUGGCCCAGGAGGUGGUCUGGGCACCGAAGAAUCGCGCUGGCCCUGACCGCAUGCCCCAGCCUUCCUGGGGUUUGUGAGGAGCUCUGAAGGAAAGAGAGUCUGGCCCACUGAAGGACGGCCAGACAGAAAGACACCUACAAUUCAGGCCUGGGUCUUUAGGUGCAGUGCAUAGCUCUGGUCAUGCUGUUGGUAUCUACAUGCAGGAGUGCAAGAAGAAGGAAGGGACACAGGGCACAGCUGCAGCAAGUCCUUCCUCUCUGUCCCAAAGAAGGCUUCCCAAAGGAG
RNAcentral lists this long non-coding RNA (323 nucleotides) under Homo sapiens (human). RNAcentral describes it as "HSALNT0125991". The record is from RNAcentral. Lineage: Eukaryota; Metazoa; Chordata; Mammalia; Primates; Hominidae.